RNAcentral lists this long non-coding RNA (731 nucleotides) under Homo sapiens (human). RNAcentral's name for it is "non-protein coding SNHG15:9". Lineage: Eukaryota; Metazoa; Chordata; Mammalia; Primates; Hominidae. The record is from RNAcentral.
GGCGUCAGUCUUGGCUGGCAGACCUGUACUCCGUACUCCGUACUUCGUAGUCGCAGCGGCGCGGUCUUCGGCAGUCUAGUCAUCCACCGCCAUCCUGGGCCCCACGUGUUGCCUGACCAUUCCUGAGCCCAGGUGGGAGCCGUGGCUGAGGUGACGGUCUCAAAGUGGAAGAGCUUACUGUCACAGCAACUCCUUUGCAAGAUGCCCCGUGUCCAUGAAACUGGGAGGCGACCGUGUUAGCUGCCAGUUCCUGACAGCCACCUCUCACCAGUGGCUUCACUCUGUGUCCCUGACCCAGCACAUGGCACAAGAGUGCCUGCCAUCCGUCAGUGUUUCUACAGCAGCAAUCCCAAGAUGCUGGAGCUAGAGGGGACCUGACCUGAGAGAAGAUACCUUCAGUGGCUGCCAGGCUGUUCCUUGGAACCUGUGCAGGGAUGAGGCCUGCCUGUGUUAAUACACCUAGUGAGGAGUGGAGCUGAAUUUGAAUGCAAGCCUUGGCACCUUAAUUGAGCAAGUUUGAAACCUCGCUUGUUGCCCUUCUGGAAGGAGUCAGGAAUUUCCAGUUCUGGGCCUGGGCUGUGGGUCUGGCAGACAGACCUCUGGCCCUAGGUUUGGGUGCCAGGUUCUCUGCUUCCAGAAUGAGAAGCUUUGCUGUGCACCAGGACCUGGGCCCUUCUGGUAUCUCCUGAAUGAAAAACAAGGGAUAUUUAAUAAAUAUGGAUUUAAAUAUG